UCGGGCCCGCGUAUAUUUACUCUGAAUGUGUAUAGAAUGUAAACCGUUCGUUUGCCCUGAAAAAGCAAACGAAAAAAAGUACAACUUUCAACAACGGAUCUCUUGGCUCUCGCAUCGAUGAAGAACGCAGCGAAAUGCGAUAAGUAAUGUGAAUUGCAGAUUUUCAGUGAAUCAUCGAAUCUUUGAACGCACCUUGCGCCCCUUGGUAUUCCGAGGGGCAUGCCUGUUUGAGUGUCAUUAAAUCCUCAACCGCGCCGAUCGAUUUCGGUGGGGCUUGGACUUUGGAGCGUGCUGGCGAAGGUCGGCUCCUCUUUAAAUGCAUCAGCGGAAGAAACCUUUGUCUUUCCUGCCCUUCGGUGUGAUAAUCGUGUUGCGCCGCGGUGGAACUUCAACGAUCCGCUUACAAUGGUCUUCGGACGAAUACCUCAUGUCAUCUUGACCUCAAAUCAGGUAGGACUACCCGCUGAACUUAAGCAUAU
This 479-nucleotide unclassified non-coding RNA is filed under the name uncultured Tylospora. RNAcentral's name for it is "sequence contains ITS1, 5.8S rRNA gene and ITS2". The stretch from base 83 to 237 matches the Rfam family "5.8S ribosomal RNA". Lineage: Eukaryota; Fungi; Basidiomycota; Agaricomycetes; Atheliales; Atheliaceae. The record is from RNAcentral.